GGCAUGUAAGAAGCUUCCUUUGAUUGUUCACCAUCAUAGUGGCUGUUGCAGUUUCUCCUUGCCAUGGACCUUCUUCCUUUCACUGUGAUGAUGGAGUGGAGACAUCCUGGUGGUUCUCUGGUCUGUCUCUUCCUCCUGCUGCAUCCAAGACUGCAGUCCUAACCCAGGCUCGUAGAAUGGCCUGGGUUGAAAAGGACCAUAAUAAUCAUCUAGUUUCAUCCCCUAUGCUGUGUGCAGGGUUGCCAACCAAUACAGAAAGAAGAGAUCUGCCAGAUCAGGCUAUGCUUCUUACCACUUCCUAAGCCCUCCUGAAGAUGGCUCAGGCACAGUUAACGUCAGGUACCUCUUUGAGCUGCUGGAAUCCAUUUAUUUUCAUAGAAUCAUAGAGUUUGAGU
Lagopus leucura (white-tailed ptarmigan) is the source of this 395-nucleotide long non-coding RNA. RefSeq lists it as uncharacterized. The record is from RefSeq and is a predicted model, not a curated record. Lineage: Eukaryota; Metazoa; Chordata; Aves; Galliformes; Phasianidae. The transcript is spliced from 3 exons.